RNAcentral lists this long non-coding RNA (644 nucleotides) under Coccomyxa subellipsoidea. RNAcentral describes it as "long non-coding RNA (CSUB_LNC000524)". The record is from RNAcentral. Lineage: Eukaryota; Viridiplantae; Chlorophyta; Trebouxiophyceae; Coccomyxaceae.
AGCUCACUCGCUUCUUGCAUCAACUACUUACUGCAUCUUACUGUCUUAAAGAAAAACUCGUAAGGCUACAGUGCCAACGCACAUUCAUCGCACGCUUGUAAAGUCUGCGAGACGAGGUUACGAUGCUCGACUUCGAGUCUGCCCCAAGUUGGGCCUCGGCGUGCCUAUGGAUCCUCGGUCUUCUUACAUUCUCGGUUAGUCUUUCGAUCACACGCUAGCCAUUUGAUCGACACUGCAUGCCGCUUGCACUUAUGCCGUUGCAUGCCGUGCUGGAUCGAAUAUCUUGCAGGAAACCUGCGUGCUUUUUGGCGUGUGGCGGGUUUUAUGUCACGACUUGUCAUUUAAUAGAAGUCUCUAUAGAGCCGAGGAUGGUUGAGCAGAUUUGCUUUAAUCUGUUUUUUCGUUCACGGUGACCUUGUCACACAGGUGUUCCUCUACGGUUGGCACCCCGUGGCAUGGUGGAGACUAAGGAGAAUUCCUGGUGAGUGUUUCGUCCCAUGUAUCAAUCGUGAUGAGCAAUGGACACUGUGAGCAAGCAUAGAGCCCGUUCCCAUCCUCUUGAGCCAGACGUCACCUUUGCCUUGGUUGUUCAGGACCCAGAGGGAGAUGGAUGUUGGGGAAUCUACCAGAAAUCAUCCCAUCGG